This 495-nucleotide ribosomal RNA is filed under the name uncultured bacterium. Its description in RNAcentral is "partial 16S ribosomal RNA". It matches the Rfam family "Bacterial small subunit ribosomal RNA", at positions 28 to 507 of the family's 1533-position model. The record is from RNAcentral.
GACGAACGCUGGCGGCGUGCCUAAUACAUGCAAGUAGAACGCUGAAGGAGGAGCUUGCUCUUCUGGAUGAGUUGCGAACGGGUGAGUAACGCGUAGGUAACCUGCCUGGUAGUGGGGGAUAACUAUUGGAAACGAUAGCUAAUACCGCAUAAUAACAGUUGUUGCAUGACAACUGUUUGAAAGGUGCAAUUGCAUCACUACCAGAUGGACCUGCGUUGUAUUAGCUAGUUGGUGGGGUAACGGCUCACCAAGGCGACGAUACAUAGCCGACCUGAGAGGGUGAUCGGCCACACUGGGACUGAGACACGGCCCAGACUCCUACGGGAGGCAGCAGUAGGGAAUCUUCGGCAAUGGACGAAAGUCUGACCGAGCAACGCCGCGUGAGUGAAGAAGGUUUUCGGAUCGUAAAGCUCUGUUGUAAGAGAAGAACGAGUGUGAGAGUGGAAAGUUCACACUGUGACGGUAUCUUACCAGAAAGGGACGGCUAACUACGUG